UUGGUCAUUUAGAGGAAGUAAAAGUCGUAACAAGGUUUUCUUGGUCAUUUAGAGGAAGUAAAAGUCGUAACAAGGUCUCCGUUGGUGAACCAGCGGAGGGAUCAUUA
RNAcentral lists this ribosomal RNA (107 nucleotides) under Fusarium sp. RNAcentral describes it as "partial 18S ribosomal RNA". It matches the Rfam family "Eukaryotic small subunit ribosomal RNA", at positions 1722 to 1831 of the family's 1831-position model. The record is from RNAcentral. Lineage: Eukaryota; Fungi; Ascomycota; Sordariomycetes; Hypocreales; Nectriaceae.